RNAcentral lists this long non-coding RNA (1115 nucleotides) under Gossypium raimondii (Peruvian cotton). Its description in RNAcentral is "long non-coding RNA (GRAI_LNC002066)". Lineage: Eukaryota; Viridiplantae; Streptophyta; Magnoliopsida; Malvales; Malvaceae. The record is from RNAcentral.
AGGAAAAGCUAGUUUAAACCUGUGUUUAUCAAGUGGAAACGUGAACGGUGAGUGUUUCGAAGUCAUUGCUUGUAUGCACGAUUCAUAGUGUUAAAUGAGAGCUUAGGAGUAGCCUAAUCUCCUAUCCUAAGUUUCAAGGGUAAGCCUUCUUACUUCUUUUGUUCAUUUUACAAAAAUUGUGACUAUGUGAUGCGAGAAGGGUAAUAUGAAGUGUUAAUAUUGCAAAUAAUAUGUGUGAUUGUGUAUGUAUGUGAUUUAAAUGGGGAUAAAGCUGUUUGAGCAUUAUGUGAGCACUUGUGAGAGCAUUAAUGGGAAGCAUAAUAAGCAUGCUAUGUGGAAACGUUAAUGUUGUGUAUGUGAUGAUUAAAAGCAGUGGUAAUAUGCAUUAAAACAGUGAGUAAAAAUGUGUGUAAUGGUGGAUAUUUUGGGCUUGUAAUCUUUCGAAACCAUUGGAUAUAGUUGGUAUGCCAUAGAAUUUGCGAGUAAUCACCAUUGUGAUUAUGAUUUGAGCAUUGAGGCUCGUAAAAGUUUAGAAAAAUAAGGAAAUGCGAGUUAAGCUCCAUUCAUCGGGAUAUGUUAGUGUAUUGGAGAGUGAAAGCUUGACGCUUCACUUAUGGGAUAUGUUGGACUCUUUGAGUUGUUGAUGUUGUGGAGAUCCGUGUAUCCAAUAUGUGGUGAUAGAGCCUACUCUUAUGUUUCAUAGUCUCAAGUGGCCAAUUUACCGUGAAUGAUUUUAUGUUUAUAUAUAUGUUAUACGUAAGUGCAUGAGAAAUAGAAGCUAGUUUGAUUGAGUUAAUGAAACCUUGUUAUAGUAAAUAUCUUAUUAUAAAUGUAUUUGAAAAUGUUCAUGAUUUAACCUAUGUUGAAAUGCAUGCUUGUGGUUAAUUCUGAUACAUUCACUGAGCUUGUUUAAGCUCACACCUCUCAUUAAACCUUUGCAGAUUAAUUGCAUUCUGGUGUGAGCGGUGCGACCAAGGAAGUGAUCUAAGCUAGGCAAUAGUAAUUUGAGCAGGUGAUUUUAUUAUUCUUUUGGACUUUUGGAAUAAAGGCAGUGUGAAUUUAGAACUUCAUUGGUUACAUUAAUAUUUUAUUUGUUUAUUAUGAUUUUGGGCUUG